AUUGAACGCUGGCGGCAGGCUUAACACAUGCAAGUCGAGCGAGCGGCGGACGGGUGAGUAAUGUCUGGGAAACUGCCUGAGGGAGGGGGAUAACUACUGGAAACGGUAGCUAAUACCGCAUACCAUCAGAUGUGCCCAGAUGGGGUUAGCUAGAGGGUGGGGUAAUGGCUCACCUAGGCGACGAUCCCUAGCUGGUCUGAGAGGAUGACAAGCCACACUGGAACUGCGACACGGGCCAGACUCCGACGGGAGUCAGCAGUGGGGAAUAUUGCACAAGGGGCGCAAGCCUGAUGCAGCCAUGCCGCGUGUGUGAAGAAGGCCUUCGGGUGGUAAAGCACUUUCAGCGAGGAGGCGUUACUCGCAGAAGAAGCACCGGCUAACUCCGUGCCAGCCGCCGCGGUAAUUC
RNAcentral lists this ribosomal RNA (406 nucleotides) under uncultured bacterium. RNAcentral's name for it is "partial 16S ribosomal RNA". It matches the Rfam family "Bacterial small subunit ribosomal RNA", at positions 29 to 526 of the family's 1533-position model. The record is from RNAcentral.